Photorhabdus luminescens is the source of this 101-nucleotide non-coding RNA. Lineage: Bacteria; Pseudomonadati; Pseudomonadota; Gammaproteobacteria; Enterobacterales; Morganellaceae. The record is from Rfam.
AUCCGUUGGUGGCAUAACUUCCCAGUAAGGGCGGUAUGGUCACGCACAUAAAUCAACAGUGCCAAAUUACCAAAACCCGCCUAAUCAGCGGGUUUUUUUAU